GUGCCUAUAUAUAUAUAUGAUUAUUGCUCUCCUCUUGCUUUCUUAAGUUUCUAUGUUUCUCAUAUUUACUCAUUACUUCUACUGUACUAAUACUUAACUAAGCACUAGUUGAGCACAUAUUUACUUUAGUGUCUUAAAAAAUCCAAUUCACCUCCCUCCUAAGUUGUCAAUCUGGGCAACAAAAGAUGAAUGCAAAAUGUACCAAGAGACAGUUUUGUGAUGUUUAUUUUAGUCUAGCUCUUUAUG
RNAcentral lists this long non-coding RNA (246 nucleotides) under Elaeis guineensis (African oil palm). Its description in RNAcentral is "long non-coding RNA (EGUI_LNC048134)". Lineage: Eukaryota; Viridiplantae; Streptophyta; Magnoliopsida; Arecales; Arecaceae. The record is from RNAcentral.